Long non-coding RNA from Tarenaya hassleriana, 573 nucleotides. RefSeq lists it as uncharacterized. NCBI's taxonomy places the organism in Eukaryota, Viridiplantae, Streptophyta, Magnoliopsida, Brassicales, Cleomaceae. The record is from RefSeq and is a predicted model, not a curated record. The transcript has 2 exons.
UGGAAACACAAAACGGUAUAUUAUACAUCAAUGGUUGAGAUCGAAUUAGGUAGAUCCAAAGGUGUGGAUUGUUUUAUCAGACUGACGGCCCGACAUAUCUUCGGCCCGAAACUUCGAUGCCUAGUUAAUUCAAAGGAUAAAAAAAAAAUUAGGGUUAGGGUUCUCGAGUUUUGGUGGACAACAUGAACUUGGCCGGUGAUACCCAGAAGAAGAAUCGGAUUCAGGUUUCAAACACCAAGAAGCCAUUGCUCUUCUACGUCCAUCUCGCUAAGAUUUUGACAUCAAGCUCGGGUUUAGAAGCUCAAGAACAGAGCUACAUAUACUGGAUGGUAAUUUUUGUACCUGCGAACUUUUUUUUUGUGUAAGGAUCAUAGGAGCAGAUUAUAUUGUUUUUACACGCUCUAUCAUUGCAUUUGCGUUCUCUUGCUCUCCCUAAGAAGAAUGCAUCAUGUUAUGCUUGUUGUUUGCAUGUGGAAUCCAAGUUGUAGUUUAAGAGAUACCAAGUGAUGAUGAUUAUGUAAUUAUCCCAAAGAAAAUGUAUAUGCAUUUGUAAUUACAAUUGGAUUUUUGGUU